Culex quinquefasciatus (southern house mosquito) is the source of this 716-nucleotide long non-coding RNA. RefSeq lists it as uncharacterized. Lineage: Eukaryota; Metazoa; Arthropoda; Insecta; Diptera; Culicidae. The record is from RefSeq and is a predicted model, not a curated record. The transcript has 3 exons.
UUCAGUUCAACUUAUGUCUUCUUUGUACAAGAUUCAUAAAAAUAAUGCUCGUAACAAAUCCAACUAUCCUUAACUACCGGAAAAUAAUCCAUUCAGAUGGCACUUCUCUGGUUCUCGAUCAAGUGAUGUUCACACUAAACAUUUUUCAUCAGAUUUGUUUUAUGGAAAUCCGUUUCUUUUAGGACGCAAUGGAAUAUGAACGAAAAUGGUUCCUGAAGAUGGACGGAAACUUGUAAACAUUGGAAAAUUGUUUUUUUGCAUGGCCAGCUACGAUGUUGUUUUCUUUUAUGUGUAUAACAGUUUAUGCCAGUUUCUAUCAGUCAAGGGGUUCUAAAGUUGUAUUUCGUUAUUUGCUCAGGCUGGAGAAAAAAUCGUGCUGUUGAUCAACCCCUCGGUUAAAUCUAUUAUAAAAUCUUUUAUAAAAGUUGGAGCUCUCCACCGCUAGAGGCAGCACUGUAUAAAUCCCUCUUUUUGAAUCUCAAGUUCUACCGAUGUGGUUUCGUGGAUAGUGCAACACAAAAAGUUUUUUCGAAACCGAAACCAGCAGCUACCAGCAUAAUAUGUGCUGCUAUGCACCAACUAAGACUGAGGAACAACAACAAAAGACAGUUAUCAAUUUACCCAAAACCCCAAAAAUAACAAGAAAACAAACCGUUUUUAAUCCUUGAAAAAGGCAAUAAAUUUGCCGAAACGUCGGAAAUUGGAACAAUACAUUG